AAUGCAGAGAAAUACUGGCGCGCCACUC
Molecule: small RNA, 28 nt
Filed under: Bombyx mori (domestic silkworm)
Lineage: Eukaryota; Metazoa; Arthropoda; Insecta; Lepidoptera; Bombycidae
Description: ovarian small RNA-10829
Source: RNAcentral